RNAcentral lists this ribosomal RNA (200 nucleotides) under uncultured bacterium. RNAcentral describes it as "partial 16S ribosomal RNA". It matches the Rfam family "Bacterial small subunit ribosomal RNA", at positions 8 to 205 of the family's 1533-position model. The record is from RNAcentral.
AGAGUUUGAUCCUGGCUCAGAACGAACGCUGGCGGCGUGCUUAACACAUGCAAGUCGAGUGCGCGGUUGUAGCAAUACAACUGGCGCACGGCGCACGGGUGCGUAACACGUGGGCAAUCUGCCCUCCGAUGGGGAAUAACUCCGGGAAACCGAAGCUAAUUCCGCAUAACAUUCCUUGGACUCCGGUUCGGGGAAUCAAA